UACGAAGGGGGCUAGCGUUGCUCGGAAUCAUUGGGCGUAAAGGGCGCGUAGGCGGCCUCGUUAGUCAGGCGUGAAACUCCCGGGCUCAACCCGGGAACUGCGCUUGAUACGGCGGGGCUAGAGGAUGGAAGAGGGCCGCGGAAUUCCCAGUGUAGAGGUGAAAUUCGUAGAUAUUGGGAAGAACACCGGUGGCGAAGGCGGCGGCCUGGUCCAUUUCUGACGCUGAGGCGCGACAGCGUGGGGAGCAAACAGG
This 253-nucleotide ribosomal RNA is filed under the name uncultured bacterium. Its description in RNAcentral is "partial 16S ribosomal RNA". It matches the Rfam family "Bacterial small subunit ribosomal RNA", at positions 524 to 776 of the family's 1533-position model. The record is from RNAcentral.